Molecule: long non-coding RNA, 1604 nt
Organism: Oncorhynchus tshawytscha (Chinook salmon)
Lineage: Eukaryota; Metazoa; Chordata; Actinopteri; Salmoniformes; Salmonidae
Source: Ensembl
UAUGUAUCCAUUAUGUAUCCAUUAUGUAUCCAUUAUGUAUCCAUUAUGUAUCCAUUAUGUAUCCAUUAUGUAUCCAUUAUGUAUCCAUUAUGUAUUCAUGCAUUAUAAAGGAUUUCAGUCGGUCCCAUCAACGUUACAUCAUGAUUUGCCACCAUUUCAUCCAUCUUGGCUCAAAAUGGCGCCCAUGUCACGCCACAGUUUCCCCAACAUGCUAUGGUUUGUCAUGCUUUCCUAAUGUCACCAGUGUCUCACAUUCUUUUUCCUGAACUCUCUAUCGUUGUGACUCAUCACUUCACCUUUCACAUUUUCACCAUCUCACCCAUUGACUUAUAGAAAUGCCAAGACAUCGAGGGACAGCCGAAACACACACACACACACACACACACACACACACACACACACACACACACACACACACACACACACACACACACACACACACACACACACACACACACACACACACACAUGGAUACACACACACACACACACACGCACACACACACACACACGCACACGGAGACACACACACAUGGAGACACACACACACAGACACAUGGAUACACACACACACACACACACACACACACACACACACACACACACACACACACACACACACACACACACACACACACACACACACACACACACACACAGACACAUGGAUACACACACGGAGACACACACACACAGACACAUGGAUACACACACAGAGACACACACACACACACGGAGACACACACAGGCAAACGGCACCCCAUUCCUCUAUAUAGUGCACUACUCUUGACCAGGGACCUGAUAGAGAAUAAGGUGCCAUUUGGGACACAACAAACUUUUCAAACAACUCUAAAGCUGCGACCCAAAAACAUUCUGGCAUUUGGGACUAAAUUUAGGUCAUCAUCACCUGUGCACAGCCAGCCAGCCAGCCAGUCCCAGCCAGCCAGUCCCAGCCAGCCAGCCAGUCCCAGCCAGCCAGCCAGUCAGCCAGCCAGUCAGCCAGUCCCAGCCAGUCCCAGACAGCCAGCCAGUCCCAGCCAGCCAGCCAGUCAGCCAGCCAGUCCCAGCCAGCCAGCCAGUCAGCCCAUCCCAGCCAGUCCCAGCCAGUCCCAGUCAGCCAGCCAGUCCCAGCCCAUUGCUGUUCCCCACUUAGGAACAAACUAAACUGGUUAGAAUUUAAACUCCUUUUCCAUUGUUUUUUUUCUCUCUGUCAUCUUUGUUGUUUUUUUUGCUUCAUCCCAUCUCUGACAUUUUCUCUUUAUUUAUGUGUUCCGGAAGCAGUGGUUUAAUCUCUCUAUCUCUGUCUCUCGCUCACCCUCAUCUUAUGUGUUCAUUCACAGAUGCAAUUAUUCUCUCUAGCCUUCCUUUCUCCCAUCUCAGUGAUUUUCUCUCUUCAGUCUCUUCUCUUCCCUACCCUCUUAUGUUCUAUUUCUUUCUCUCUCUCCAUCUCUCACUCCUUUCUCCUUCACUCCUUCUUCAUCUUCUUCUCUCUCUCCUACUCUCUCUCUCCUACUCUCUCUCUCCUACUCUCUAUCUUCUGUUUCAGAGGUCUGUAGCAUUGAGAUGGUUCGUCACAAUGUCCUGGGCCUCUAGGUCCAUCUUCG